Engraulis encrasicolus (European anchovy) is the source of this 969-nucleotide long non-coding RNA. RefSeq lists it as uncharacterized. The transcript is spliced from 2 exons. NCBI's taxonomy places the organism in Eukaryota, Metazoa, Chordata, Actinopteri, Clupeiformes, Engraulidae. The record is from RefSeq and is a predicted model, not a curated record.
ACGCUAGAGGGCAAUGUUGAACAUUCAAUGGCCACAUCAGCGGUGUUUCGCAAGCAGUGAACUACGGGUGGCGAGGGACACCAAAACAGAAGGUCAGCUGUAAGUUAGGUAACGUGUGGAAGUGUUUUAAUGUCAAGAACUCCAGCACUUGAAAAUGAACAAUGAUACCAACGAGGUGAUGAUACUCGCACGCGUGUUCUACCGGUGAUAUUGUUGUUUCAGACCAAGAAACACAUCCACGUACACCAGGACUAGACAUCUGAUGAUCAAACCAACCUUAGACAUUGCAUAAGUCUCAUUCAGCCAGAGGACCAUGGCCCGCCACAGCAAGCUGCAGAAGCAAAUUCUGUCGCUGUACAGAGAGUUCAUGCGCGCUGGACGCGAGAAGCCAGGCUUCAUCCCUCGGAUUCGAGACGAGUUCAGAGAAAACUCCCGCAUCAAGAAGACGGAUGUGAUGCACAUAGAAUACCUGUACCGACGCGCUCAGAGACAGCUUGAGCAGCUGAAAGAUGUGAACACUAAACAACUAGGAUCCUUUUCAAGGGAGAAUAAAAAGGGAGAAGGGGACAGCUGAUGUAGAACUCAAUGUGACAUCCCCCUUGCUAGUCUUACCAUCAUGUGGCCUUCCCAGCCAUAUAACGCUCCAGACAAUGUAUUUUUUGUACAUUGACUGGAGCUUUACGGAUGUCAAGGCCAGGGUAUCUCUUGUAGAGUUCUACUGUUGCUAAGAUUUGGUGUGGACAUUCACAUCGUUGCUGACUGCCUCAUAUCAUUGGAGACCAUACACAAGGGAUGUAGCCUACUUCAAUGUACCAUGUGUCUUUUUUUGUUAAAUCCUGCAUAGAAAAUGUAUAGCAGGAUUUAAACUGACCAUUAACCUGGGGACCGUUAUCUCUGGAGAAGUCUACUGAUCAAUGCCAUGUGUUUUAAAGUGUAGGAAAAUAAACUGUGCACUUGGGCACCAGAUCA